This 484-nucleotide ribosomal RNA is filed under the name uncultured bacterium. Its description in RNAcentral is "bacterial SSU rRNA". It matches the Rfam family "Bacterial small subunit ribosomal RNA", at positions 28 to 526 of the family's 1533-position model. The record is from RNAcentral.
GACGAACGCUGGCGGCGUGCUUAACACAUGCAAGUCGAACGGUGAAAGAGAGCUUGCUCUCUGGAUCAGUGGCGAACGGGUGAGUAACACGUGGGCAACCUGCCCCUGACUCUGGGAUAACUCCUCGAAAGAGGUGCUAAUACCGGAUACGAACUCCACAGGCAUCUGCGGAGUUGGAAAGUUUUUCGGUCAGGGAUGGGCCCGCGGCCUAUCAGCUUGUUGGUGAGGUAGCGGCUCACCAAGGCGACGACGGGUAGCCGGCCAGAGAGGGCGACCGGCCACACUGGGACUGAGACACGGCCCAGACUCCUACGGGAGGCAGCAGUGGGGAAUAUUGCGCAAUGGGCGAAAGCCUGACGCAGCAACGCCGCGUGAGGGAUGACGGCCUUCGGGUUGUAAACCUCUUUCAGCAGGGAAGAAGCGAAAGUGACGGUACCUGCAGAAGAAGCACCGGCUAACUACGUGCCAGCCGCCGCUGUAAAAC